CUCAAGCAAUCCUCCCGCCUCAGCCUCCCAAAGUGCUGGAUUGCAGGUGUGAGCCGCCGUGCCUGGCCUGCCUUGGGCUUUUUAUGUUAAGGCGUCUGUGCUCAUUGUUGUCCACACAUGCAAAUAUGACUGUGAGGAACCUCGUGAGCCAGGCAGGCAUCAGCCAGGGAAACAGUUCCUGUAGGCUCGUGGGGCCUCCCCCUCCGCAGUGUGGCUCCGGGCUGUUCUGAGGCCUGGCGGGGAUGGUAGGUGAUGGGUGGCCCUCCAGAGGGGACUCGGUGCUUCCCAGCCCCUCUGUCCACCUCCCAGACCAGCUGAUUCAGGGUCGGACAGACACAGCCGGCCCGGGUCAUGCCGAGGAAAGGACAGGAACCACCCUGCCCAUCCCACUGCCUCCCAGUGAGGCGUGAGGCUGAGCCCUGGGAGCACCGUUGGGACCUGGAAUUUACCUGGCAGUAACCCAGAAUCUCGCAGGAGUCCCUGGCAUCGGGUCCGACCCUUUGCUCCAGGUCUGAAGACACUACUGCCCGUUGCCGCUUCAAGCCCACUGAGGGCCGCCCCCAACCCUGUGUGUGGCUGUGCAGGGGCUGGUUCUUUGCAGUGUCCGUGGCUGUGGCCAGCGUCAGGGUCGAGCCGUGACCAGGCUCCCCGUGGCGGCCAGCAGCCCUCGGUGAUCCUUGGCCUGAGAAAGCACCGCCCUGACCUCGGCCUUCAUCUUCGCACGGCCUCUCCCUGCGUGCCUGUCUCCAGAUCCCCUUUCCAUAAGGGCGCCUCGUGCUGGGGUGAGGCCCGGCCUCCUGACCGCCCCUUAACCUGAUUUUCUCUGUAAAGACUCUGUCUCCAAACAAGUCACAUUCUGAGGUGCUGGGGGCUGGGAUGUCAACACCUUCCUGAGCUGCACACAUUGACCUAGGACAAAUGGCAUUUUCAAAUUAAAAAAAACUUUAAUUUUGAGUAAAUUUUACAAAAAACUUUUAAAUAUACUAUGGAGAGUUCCCGUAGCUCCCUCACCUCCCGCAGGACAGCACUGCACCGAAGCAGGGUCCGCUGAUGGGCCUGGGGUCAGC
RNAcentral lists this long non-coding RNA (1067 nucleotides) under Homo sapiens (human). Its description in RNAcentral is "HSALNT0067981". Lineage: Eukaryota; Metazoa; Chordata; Mammalia; Primates; Hominidae. The record is from RNAcentral.